Molecule: ribosomal RNA, 303 nt
Filed under: uncultured Cenococcum
Lineage: Eukaryota; Fungi; Ascomycota; Dothideomycetes; Gloniales; Gloniaceae
Description: eukaryotic LSU rRNA
Rfam family: 5.8S ribosomal RNA (bases 1-143)
Source: RNAcentral
ACGAAUCUCUUGGUUCUGGCAUCGAUGAAGAACGCAGCGAAAUGCGAUAAGUAGUGUGAAUUGCAGAAUUCAGUGAAUCAUCGAAUCUUUGAACGCACAUUGCGCCCCUUGGUAUCCCGAGGGGCAUGCCUGUUCGAGCGUCAUUUCACCACUCAAGCCUGGCUUGGUGUUGGGCGACGUCCGCUUUUGGGGACGCGUCUCGAAACGCUCGGCGGCGUGGCACCGGCUUUAAGCGUAGCAGAAUCUUUCGCUUUGAAAGUCGGGGCCCCGUCUGCCGGAAGACCUACUCGCAAGGUUGACCUC